GAUGAACGCUGGCGGCGUGCCUAAUACAUGCAAGUCGAGCGAACAGACGAGGAGCUUGCUCCUCUGACGUUAGCGGCGGACGGGUGAGUAACACGUGGAUAACCUACCUAUAAGACUGGGAUAACUUCGGGAAACCGGAGCUAAUACCGGAUAAUAUAUUGAACCGCAUGGUUCAAUAGUGAAAGACGGUUUUGCUGUCACUUCUAGAUGGAUCCGCGCCGCAUUAGCUAGUUGGUAAGGUAACGGCUUACCAAGGCAACGAUGCGUAGCCGACCUGAGAGGGUGAUCGGCCACACGGGAACUGAGACACGGUCAAGACGCCUACGGGAGGCAGCAGUAGGGAAUCUUCCGCAAUGGGCGAAAGCUUGACGGAGCAACGCCGCGUGAGUGAUGAAGGUCUUCGGAUCGUAAAACUCUGUUAUUAGGGAAGAACAAAUGUGUAAGUAACUAUGCACGUCUUGACGGUACCUAAUCAGAAAGCCACGGCUAACUACGUG
This 497-nucleotide ribosomal RNA is filed under the name uncultured bacterium. RNAcentral describes it as "partial 16S ribosomal RNA". It matches the Rfam family "Bacterial small subunit ribosomal RNA", at positions 28 to 507 of the family's 1533-position model. The record is from RNAcentral.